Molecule: long non-coding RNA, 1397 nt
Filed under: Zostera marina
Lineage: Eukaryota; Viridiplantae; Streptophyta; Magnoliopsida; Alismatales; Zosteraceae
Description: long non-coding RNA (ZMAR_LNC005301)
Source: RNAcentral
UUGAAUUAAAAUAUUUGUAGUUUACACACUGUAUUUAUAAACUCUAAAACAAACAAAACUUUACUACAACCCUGAGUAUUAUUUUAUUUUAACCAGAUCCCUUGUUGAAAUAUUUAAUUUCUACUUUUGGGUCAGUCCAGUACUCUGGGCUUUAUGUGUGAACCUUGAAUCUUUUAUCCUGCUUAAAAGAUCAAUUAGUGAUAUAAUUAACAAAUGUAAUUAGAGUUUAUUAAAAUGUAAUUAAAGUUUUUAUAACUUUUAUUUGAAUGAUUAUAAAUAAUAGUAAAUGUAAAAAUAUUGUCUAUCUCUUAUUCAACUAUAACCCUGACUAACUGACCAAGAAUUGAAGCCUUAAGAGGUUUGACUCCCAUGAGCGUAUAGCUUGUAUUUCAAUCUGUAAAAGAUUGUUUUUCUUAUAAGAUGUAGAAUUAUAUGUAAUUCUCACAUCCUUUAUACUUUCUAUCGGACAAUUUUUGGGGCCAUAGGAUGUGAAUUUCCAUAUUCGUGAAUCGUGAUAAUGGUGAUAUUGAAUCAAUGAGUCAAAGAUGAAUCUAAAUGAGAAAAUAAGCAUUCAUGUGGGAUGUCCGAAGCAUUAAAUGAGUUUGGCAAACAGGCUACCAUUUGUACUUUGUUGAAAACAAUAUUAAAAAAAAACCAUGUGAUAGUCUGUGUGCUCACGUGAGCGUUUCUGAACUAUCAUUUACAGUUUUACAGUGACCCGUUAUUGUUCUGCUCAAAACCCUACCUUCCCUCUGUCUCACCCUUUUUCAUAGGUAUUUUCAAUUUUCCUUUGAACAAAGACUAGGUGUUGGAGUAUAUUGCAUACUUUUUUGUUUUUGUUAAAACCCUCGCCUCACUCUCUGAAUCUAAUACUAAAUAACUCACAAAAAAUAAUAAUUAAUGAAUGAAUGGAGUGUUGAGUCGUGGAGGAAGAGACCAAAAAAAUACUAUAAAAAUCAAGUUUCAAGAUGCUAGGUUUUCUCUCUGACUAGCUAUUUUAGACCUACUUGGAUCAGAUGGGAGGGGACCGAAGAAGAAGGAGGGAGAGUUAUUAUAAAAAAAAUGGGUUUUCUGUUGUUUUUUUCUUCACCAUACCUCAGAAGUAGCAUGCCCUUAGACCAUUCAUACUGCUGUCACACAUUUCCCAAAGAUUCCUUUUCCUUUCUUUCUUACAUUGUGUGAAAAAUUGGCAAAAGAAUCAUUGCAAACUUUUUUUUUACCCUCUUAAUUCUCAUUCACUGCUCUUGUCCUCUUCUAGAUCGAUCAAACAGUGUUGUGAUUUUGGGCCCAAGCUUUCUGCAGCUUCUUCUGGUCUAUGUUUCAUCAUCUCAUAUAUUAAAAAAAGGGUAUAUGUGACUAAUGUGGCUGUGUACCACCUAUGUGGAGAGGAAAGCAAA